UAAACAGUAUAGUAGUGUAUCUGUAGGGUCUGGAUAGGUAUAAACAGUAUAGUAGUGUAUCUGUAGGGUCUGGAUAGGUAUAAACAGUAUAGUGGUGGAUCUGUAGGGUCUGGAUAGGUAUAAACAGUAUAGUAGUGUAUCUGUAGGGUCUGGAUAGGUAUAAACAGUAUAGUAGUGUAUCUGUAGGGUCUGGAUAGGUAUAAACAGUAUAGUGGUGGAUCUGUAGGGUCUGGAUAGGUAUAAACAGUAUAGUGGUGGAUCUGUAGGGUCUGGAUAGGUAUAAACAGUAUAGUAGUGUAUCUGUAGGGUCUGGAUAGGUAUAAACAGUAUAGUGGUGGGGUCUGGAUAGGUAUAAACAGUAUAGUAGUGUAUCUGUAGGGUCUGGAUAGGUAUAAACAGUAUAGUAGUGUAUCUGUAGGGUCUGGAUAGGUAUAAACAGUAUAGUGGUGGGGUAUGGAUAGGUAUAAACAGUAUAGUAGUGUAUCUGUAGGGUCUGGAUAGGUAUAAACAGUAUAGUGGUGGAUCUGUAGGGUCUGGAUAGGUAUAAACAGUAUAGUAGUGUAUCUGUAGGGUCUGGAUAGGUAUAAACAGUAUAGUAGUGUAUCUGUAGGGUCUGGAUAGGUAUAAACAGUAUAGUGGUGGAUCUGUAGGGUCUGGAUAGGUAUAAACAGUAUAGUAGUGUAUCUGUAGGGUCUGGAUAGGUAUAAACAGUAUAGUAGUGUAUCUGUAAGGUCUGGAUAGGUAUAAACAGUAUAGUAGUGGAUCUGUAGGGUCUGGAUAGGUAUAAACAGUAUAGUGGUGAGGUCUGGAUAGGUAUAAACAGUAUAGUAGUGUAUCUGUAGGGUCUGGAUAGGUAUAAACAGUAUAGUGGUGGGGUCUGGAUAGGUAUAAACAGUAUAGUAGUGUAUCUGUAGGGUCUGGAUAGGUAUAAACAGUAUAGUAGUGUAUCUGUAGGGUCUGGAUAGGUAUAAACAGUAUAGUGGUGGGGUCUGGAUAGGUAUAAACAGUAUAGUAGUGUAUCUGUAGGGUCUGGAUAGGUAUAAACAGUAUAGUGGUGGAUCUGUAGGGUCUGGAUAGGUAUAAACAGUAUAGUAGUGUAUCUGUAGGGUCUGGAUAGGUAUAAACAGUAUAGUAGUGUAUCUGUAGGGUCUGGAUAGGUAUACACAGUAUAGUGGUGAGGUCUGGAUAGGUAUAAACAGUAUAGUAGUGUAUCUGUAGGGUCUGGAUAGGUAUAAACAGUAUAGUGGUAGGGUCUGGAUAGGUAUAAACAGUAUAGUGGUGGAUCUGUAGGGUCUGGAUAGGUAUAAACAGUAUAGUGGUGGGGUCUGGAUAGGUAUAAACAGUAUAGUGGUGGAUCUGUAGGGUCUGGAUAGGUAUAAACAGUAUAGUGGUGGGGUCUGGAUAGGUAUAAACAGUAUAGUGGUGGAUCUGUAGGGUCUGGAUAGGUAUAAACAGUAUAGUGGUGGGGUCUGGAUAGGUAUAAACAGUAUAGUGGUGGAUCUGUAGGGUCUGGAUAGGUAUAAACAGUAUAGUGGUGGGGUCUGGAUAGGUAUAAACAGUAUAGUGGUGGAUCUGUAGGGUCUGGAUAGGUAUAAACAGUAUAGUGGUGGAUCUGUAGGGUCUGGAUAGGUAUAAACAGUAUAGUGGUGGGGUCUGGAUAGGUAUAAACAGUAUAGUAGUGGGGUCUGGAUAGGUAUAAACAGUAUAGUAGUGGGGUCUGGAUAGGUAUAAACAGUAUAGUGGUGGGGUCUGGAUAGGUAUAAACAGUAUAGUAGUGGGGUCUGGAUAGGUAUAAACAGUAUAGUGGUGGGGUCUGGAUAGGUAUAAACAGUAUAGUGGUGGGGUCUGGAUAGGUAUAAACAGUAUAGUAGUGGGGUCUGGAUAGGUAUAAACAGUAUAGUGGUAGAUCUGUAGGGUCUGGAUAGGUAUAAACAGUAUAGUGGUGGGGUCUGGAUAGGUAUAAACAGUAUAGUAGUGGGGUCUGGAUAGGUAUAAACAGUAUAGUGGUGGGGUCUGGAUAGGUAUAAACAGUAUAGUGGUGGGGUCUGGAUAGGUAUAAACAGUAUAGUAGUGGGGUCUGGAUAGGUAUAAACAGUAUAGUGGUAGAUCUGUAGGGUCUGGAUAGGUAUAAACAGUAUAGUGGUAGGGUCUGGAUAGGUAUAAACAGUAUAGUGGUGUAUCUGUAGGGUCUGGAUAGGUAUAAACAGUAUAGUGGUGGGGUCUGGAUAGGUAUAAACAGUAUAGUGGUGUAUCUGUAGGGUCUGGAUAGGUAUAAACAGUAUAGUAGUGGGGUCUGGAUAGGUAUAAACAGUAUAGUGGUGGGGUCUGGAUAGGUAUAAACAGUAUAGUGGUGGGGUCUGGAUAGGUAUAAACAGUAUAGUAGUGUAUCUGUAGGGUCUGGAUAGGUAUAAACAGUAUAGUAGUGGGGUCUGGAUAGGUAUAAACAGUAUAGUAGUGGGGUCUGGAUAGGUAUAAACAGUAUAGUGGUGGGGUCUGGAUAGGUAUAAACAGUAUAGUGGUGGGGUCUGGAUAGGUAUAAACAGUAUAGUGGUGGGGUCUGGAUAGGUAUAAACAGUAUAGUGGUGGGGUCUGGAUAGGUAUAAACAGUAUAGUGGUGGAGCUGUAUUGAUUCCACCAUACAGAUUGUACAACAUUAAAAGAGUUUAGGGCCAGGAGACGGGUAAGGAUAGAUCCUAAUCAAAUCCAUAGCAACACAGAGGGCAGCUGAGUGCACAGCACUGUUUAAUGAUCAGAACUGUGUUCAGGAGGGUUCUGGCUGCCAUUCAU
Molecule: long non-coding RNA, 2787 nt
Organism: Oncorhynchus keta (chum salmon)
Lineage: Eukaryota; Metazoa; Chordata; Actinopteri; Salmoniformes; Salmonidae
Exons: 11
Source: RefSeq, a predicted model, not a curated record